RNAcentral lists this long non-coding RNA (490 nucleotides) under Heterocephalus glaber (naked mole-rat). Its description in RNAcentral is "lncRNA (ENSHGLG00000042532.1)". The record is from RNAcentral. Lineage: Eukaryota; Metazoa; Chordata; Mammalia; Rodentia; Bathyergidae.
GGAAGGUCUCCGUGGGCCGAGGAGAGGAGACGGGGAAGGAGAGGAUGCCACGUCCUGAGUUCCAGGUGCCACUCGCUUGCCGCCCCCCACCCCCACCCCGCAUCCCUCUUCCGGUCGUUGUCAACCUUUCCCGGUCUGCACUGCGUCCCUCCCACGGUCUUCCUCUCCUGGCUGAGACUCACUUUUCUCUAUUUUCCUCACGCUCUCCUUCAAACACUAAUCGUAACCCCCACCCCCAUCCCUUGCGGGGCCCGAACGCCUUGGCGACCCCUACGUCCCCAUGGCAACAGCGGUGAUUUCACUCUGGGCUCGGCUUACCACCCGGCCCCCGCGCUCCGGGCUGCUGUCUGCGGGCGGCGGCAGUGUGGUGAGCCGGCUGCAGGCCGAGAUGCUGCAGAUGGACCUGAUCGACGCAGCGGGGGACACUCUCGGCGCCGAGGAUGACGAGGAGGGAGGACGAGGAGCGUGCAGCACGGCGCCCAGGAGCGGG